AAAAGCAAAAAAAUUACAUAAUAAAUAAGGAAGUUAUGCCGAUAAGUAAUGUAUAUACAGAUGUUUCAACUUAUGUACAUAGGACAGGCCAAGCCGCAAGGCAUUAUUGCAGUCGUGAUGAAUCUUCGAACAUCCACCACCACCCAGAAAAUAACUUAAAGUGGGGGGUAGUGUAAAGGAAAAACAAAUAUUAAGAAAGCAAGCACCCAUGGAGAAUAGAGACUCG
RNAcentral lists this unclassified non-coding RNA (226 nucleotides) under Hevea brasiliensis (rubber tree). Lineage: Eukaryota; Viridiplantae; Streptophyta; Magnoliopsida; Malpighiales; Euphorbiaceae. The record is from RNAcentral.